Molecule: ribosomal RNA, 690 nt
Filed under: Amycolatopsis sp. 11456
Lineage: Bacteria; Bacillati; Actinomycetota; Actinomycetes; Pseudonocardiales; Pseudonocardiaceae
Description: bacterial SSU rRNA
Rfam family: Bacterial small subunit ribosomal RNA
Source: RNAcentral
UGCAGUCGAACGCUGAACCGGUUUCGGCCGGGGAUGAGUGGCGAACGGGUGAGUAACACGUGGGUAAUCUGCCCUGUACUCUGGGAUAAGCCUGGGAAACUGGGUCUAAUACCGGAUACGACCACUACAGGCAUCUGUGGUGGUGGAAAGUUCCGGCGGUAUGGGAUGAACCCGCGGCCUAUCAGCUUGUUGGUGGGGUAAUGGCCUACCAAGGCGACGACGGGUAGCCGGCCUGAGAGGGUGACCGGCCACACUGGGACUGAGACACGGCCCAGACUCCUACGGGAGGCAGCAGUGGGGAAUAUUGCACAAUGGGCGCAAGCCUGAUGCAGCGACGCCGCGUGAGGGAUGACGGCCUUCGGGUUGUAAACCUCUUUCGCCAGGGACGAAGCGCAAGUGACGGUACCUGGAUAAGAAGCACCGGCUAACUACGUGCCAGCAGCCGCGGUAAUACGUAGGGUGCGAGCGUUGUCCGGAAUUAUUGGGCGUAAAGAGCUCGUAGGCGGUUUGUCGCGUCGGCUGUGAAAUCUGGAGGCUUAACCUUCAGCGUGCAGUCGAUACGGGCAGACUUGAGUUCGGCAGGGGAGACUGGAAUUCCUGGUGUAGCGGUGAAAUGCGCAGAUAUCAGGAGGAACACCGGUGGCGAAGGCGGGUCUCUGGGCCGAUACUGACGCUGAGGAGCGAAAGCGU